UGCGUAGGUGGCCGGGUAAGUCCGAUGUGAAAUCUCCGAGCCUAACUCGGAAACUGCAUCGGAUACUAUUCGGCUGGAGGGGUUGGGAGGGGGGGACGUGGAAUACUUGGUGUAGCAGUGAAAUGCGUAGAUAUCAAGUGGAACACCAGUGGCGAAGGCGAGUCCCUGGACAACUCCUGACACUGAGGCACGAAAGCUAAGGGGAGCAAAC
Molecule: ribosomal RNA, 211 nt
Filed under: uncultured bacterium
Lineage: Bacteria
Description: partial 16S ribosomal RNA
Rfam family: Bacterial small subunit ribosomal RNA
Source: RNAcentral